AGUCGUAACAAGGUUUCCGUAGGUGAACCUGCGGAAGGAUCAUUAAUG
Molecule: ribosomal RNA, 48 nt
Filed under: Peziza sp. HK 87-273
Lineage: Eukaryota; Fungi; Ascomycota; Pezizomycetes; Pezizales; Pezizaceae
Description: partial 18S ribosomal RNA
Rfam family: Eukaryotic small subunit ribosomal RNA
Source: RNAcentral